This 334-nucleotide ribosomal RNA is filed under the name Nitzschia curvilineata. Its description in RNAcentral is "bacterial LSU rRNA". It matches the Rfam family "Bacterial large subunit ribosomal RNA", at positions 2098 to 2431 of the family's 2925-position model. The record is from RNAcentral. Lineage: Eukaryota; Bacillariophyta; Bacillariophyceae; Bacillariales; Bacillariaceae.
GCUUUACUGUAACUUGAAAUUGAAAUUGGACUUUAUUUGCGCAGUAUAGGUGGGAGGUGUUGAGAUUAUCCUUGCGGGGAUGAUGGAGCCAUCAGUGAGAUACCACUCUUGUAAUGUUAGAUUUCUAACUUUGUAUCAUAAUCUGGUCAAAGAACAGUUUCAGGCGGGCAGUUUGACUGGGGCGGUCGCCUCCCAAAUGGUAACGGAGGCGUACAAAGGUUUCCUCUGAACGUGUAGAAAUCGUAUCUAGAGUGUAAAGGCAUAAGGAAGCUUGACUGUGAGACCUACAAGUCGAGCAGGGACGAAAGUCGGUCUUAGUGAUCUGACGGUGCUG